UUCCGGUUGAUCCCGCCGGACCCCACUGCUAUCGAGGUGGGACUAAGCCAUGCUAGUCGAACGCACAGAACUAUGUCUGUGAGUGGCAUACUGCUCAGUAACACGUAGCUAACCUACCCUUCGGACGUGGACAACCCCGAGAAAUUGGGACUAAUCCGCGAUAGAUGUGAUGUCCUGGAAUGGUAUUACGUCUAAAGGUAUUCCAUACAUGUUUGUUAUACGCCUAAGGAUGGGGCUGCGGCUGAUCAGGCUGUUGGUGAGGUAAUGGCUCACCAAACCAUUGACCAGUACGGGCCAUGAGAGUGGUAGCCCGGAGAUGGACACUGAGACAAGGGUCCAGGCCCUACGGGGCGCAGCAGGCGCGAAACCUCCUCAAUGCACUAACGUGCGAAGGGGUUACCUCGAGCGCUACCUGAUGAAGGUGGCUUUUCCUUGGUCUAAAUAGCCUUGGGAAUAAGAGGGGGGCAAGACUGGUGUCAGCCGCCGCGGUAACACCAGCCCCUCGAGUGGUGGGGAUGAUUAUUUGGCCUAAAGCGUCCGUAGCCGGCCGGGUAAGUUUCCCGUUAAAUCCAACGUCUCAAGCGUUGGACCGCGGGAAAUACUGCCUGGCUAGAGAGUGGGAGAGGUCAGCGGUAUUCUGGGGGUAGGGGCGAAAUCCUUUGAUCCC
This 667-nucleotide ribosomal RNA is filed under the name uncultured archaeon. Its description in RNAcentral is "bacterial SSU rRNA". It matches the Rfam family "Archaeal small subunit ribosomal RNA", at positions 1 to 649 of the family's 1478-position model. The record is from RNAcentral.